GCCUGGGUGGCUCAGUGGUUGAGCAUCUGCCUUUGGCUCAGGGCAUGUUCCUGGGGCCCUGGGAUCAAGUCCCAGAUCAGGCU
RNAcentral lists this transfer RNA (83 nucleotides) under Canis lupus familiaris (dog). It matches the Rfam family "tRNA". Rfam says of the family: Transfer RNA (tRNA) molecules are approximately 80 nucleotides in length. Their secondary structure includes four short double-helical elements and three loops (D, anti-codon, and T loops). RNAcentral also lists the same sequence under 1 other name. Lineage: Eukaryota; Metazoa; Chordata; Mammalia; Carnivora; Canidae. The record is from Rfam by way of RNAcentral.